This is a long non-coding RNA of Ornithodoros turicata, 705 nucleotides long. RefSeq lists it as uncharacterized. The transcript is spliced from 3 exons. The record is from RefSeq and is a predicted model, not a curated record. NCBI's taxonomy places the organism in Eukaryota, Metazoa, Arthropoda, Arachnida, Ixodida, Argasidae.
UUGUCUUGCAAUUUUUGAGCAUAGCGAGAACGUACGCCGUGCUGUCCAGUGAUAAAAGCUGUUGAGCGCAGCAGAGCUCGCAGAGUACUGUGGUGGACAACGUUUCUUUGUUCUCUGGCUUUCAAGUUUAAGGGGUGCUUGGACUAUCUUGCAUCGGUGGAUAUGAAAAUAGUGGUAACCUACCCUACGAAACAGCUAUUUGCACAUAAGCUUAACAGUUCCCUGUGAGAUGCUGUGAAAGUCAGCAGGGAAGUGCGAUGUAGAAGAAACGACUGCCAGAAGCUUGCUAAAGAACCGCACAACAUGUGUGAGCAGCAGACAAAAUAUUCAUCAAACGGUACAAAACUAGUAUUUUUGUGCUUUGUCGUUUUGAGACAUCCUUGGUAUUGUAUGGAGAACAGCGUGACUAUGUCAUUCCGUCUUACUUCACCCAAACAGCUAUCUGGUAGUAGUGCAAGAUUUGAGUUCCUAAAAGGUUUAUUCACUGAAGUCACCUCAGCGCCAUACUAUAGGUCCCUCAAUGUUUAGUCCUUGCAUUUGUUCGCUGCAUUAUGCUUUUUAGGUGACUAUUAACACAAAAAAAUAUGGAAAUUGCUUGGAUAUUCUACAAAUCACAGAGCAACAAGUUUUAAACACCAGAUAUGCGGUGAGUAUAAUAUGGGUAACAGCUUGACUGAAAUCUACAAUCGGGCCGAGAUCUACCAA